RNAcentral lists this ribosomal RNA (482 nucleotides) under uncultured bacterium. RNAcentral describes it as "partial 16S ribosomal RNA". It matches the Rfam family "Bacterial small subunit ribosomal RNA", at positions 28 to 507 of the family's 1533-position model. The record is from RNAcentral.
GACGAACGCUGGCGGCGUGCUUAACACAUGCAAGUCGAACGAUGAAGAAGAGAAACGCGAACUUCGGUUCAAAUUUCACUUCGGAUUAGAGGCAGACGGGUGAGUAACGCGUGAGCAACCUACCUCUUACAAAGGGAUAGCCUCGGGAAGCCGUGAUUAAUACCAUAUGACACAUUCAUAAGGCAUCUUAAGAAUGUUAAAGCUACGGCGGUAAGAGAUGGGCUCGCGUCCCAUUAGCUAGUUGGUGAGGUAACGGCCCACCAAGGCGACGAUGGGUAACCGGCCUGAGAGGGUGAACGGUCACAUUGGAACUGAGACACGGUCCAAACUCCUACGGGAGGCAGCAGUAGGGAAUAUUGCACAAUGGAGGGAACUCUGAUGCAGCGACGCCGCGUGAGCGAUGAAGGAAUUCGUUUCAUAAAGCUCUGUUCUAUGGGAAGAAAAGGACUGUACCAUAGGAGAAAGCCCCGGCUAAAUACGUG